GACGAACGCUGGCGGCGUGCCUAAUACAUGCAAGUAGAACGCUGAAGGGGGAGCUUUCCCCUCUGGAUGAGUUGCGAACAGGUGAGUAUCACGUAGGUAACCUGCCUGGUGUCGGGGGAUAACUCUUUGAAACGCUAUCUAAUAUCCCAUAUAAGAAGAUGUUGCAUGACAUUUGCUUAAAAGAUGCAAUUUUAUUCCUAUCAGAUGUACCUGCGUUGUAUUAGCUAGUAGGUGGGGUAACGGCUCACCUAGGCGACGAUACAUAUCCGACCUGAGAGGGUGAUCGGCCACACUGGGACUGAGACACGGCCCAGACUCCUACGGGAGGCAGCAGUAGGGAAUCUUCGGCAAUGGACGGAAGUCUGACCGAGCAACGCCGCGUGAGUGAAGAAGGUUGUCGGAUCGGAAAGCUCUGUUGUAAGAGAAGAACGAGUGUGAGAGUGGAAAGUUCACACUGUGACGGUAUCUUACUAGAAAGGGACGGCUAACUACGUG
Molecule: ribosomal RNA, 495 nt
Filed under: uncultured bacterium
Lineage: Bacteria
Description: partial 16S ribosomal RNA
Rfam family: Bacterial small subunit ribosomal RNA
Source: RNAcentral